UGGCGAACGGGUGAGUAACGCGUGAGGAACCUGCCUCAAAGAGGGGGACAACAGUCGGAAACGACUGCUAAUACCGCAUAAGCCCACGGGUCGGCAUCGACCUGAGGGAAAAGGAGCAAUCCGCUUUGGGAUGGCCUCGCGUCCGAUUAGCUAGUUGGUGAGGUAACGGCCCACCAAGGCGACGAUCGGUAGCCGGACUGAGAGGUUGAACGGCCACAUUGGGACUGAGACACGGCCCAG
RNAcentral lists this ribosomal RNA (240 nucleotides) under uncultured bacterium. RNAcentral describes it as "partial 16S ribosomal RNA". It matches the Rfam family "Bacterial small subunit ribosomal RNA", at positions 96 to 334 of the family's 1533-position model. The record is from RNAcentral.